GCCCCCUUAACUCAAUGGAUAGAGUACAGGCCUCCGAAGCCUGGAAUAGAGGUUCGAGCCCUCUAGGGGGUA
This 72-nucleotide transfer RNA is filed under the name Pseudomonadota bacterium. RNAcentral's name for it is "tRNA-Arg". It matches the Rfam family "tRNA". Rfam says of the family: Transfer RNA (tRNA) molecules are approximately 80 nucleotides in length. Lineage: Bacteria; Pseudomonadati; Pseudomonadota. RNAcentral also lists the same sequence under 2 other names. The record is from RNAcentral.